RNAcentral lists this long non-coding RNA (1178 nucleotides) under Serinus canaria (Common canary). Its description in RNAcentral is "lncRNA (ENSSCAG00000010233.1)". Lineage: Eukaryota; Metazoa; Chordata; Aves; Passeriformes; Fringillidae. The record is from RNAcentral.
AUGGCCUUUGCGCCCUCCGAGCAUGACAUCGUCUCUCGCCUUGCGUCCUCGGCUGCCAAGCGUUCAGCGUCGCGAAGAGGAAGGGGGAGACAGGGUUGCUCUCUCUUGCCUUCCCCUCGGUGUAUUUGUUUGCGGGGGCUCUGGUUGCUUUCCCCCUUUUGGCAAAGGAGAGCGAUGCAACCCGGCAGAUACCUUGGGAGCGAGGAGGGUAUUUUGGGGAGUUGCAGUGUUGUGCGGAAGAUCAUGUCUGUGCCCUGUGGUGCUGUCAGCAGUGACAGAUCCCAGAUGCCGUCGCUACUGUAUGGCAGAUUGAGUUUCUCAGCAGAAAACUCUCUCCCUCCCUCCCAAACGUCUUCAAAAACCUUCUCCAGAUACUGCGGGUCACUUCGGCUCAAACGGGGAGAGAAAGGGGGGAAAAAAGGCUUUUCCUCUCUCCUCCCUCUCUCUUCCUCCCGCCGGAUUUCUCUGGGGUGCGCGGGGGACCAUGGCAGGGCCCUUGUGCACCCGGGGGGCUGGGGGGACUCCUCUCACCCCCGUCCUGCUGAGAGCCCGUCGCCGAGCACGGGGACCGUAGUCCAGGCCCACAAGUGGAUCAAACCAGUCCUGCACUGUUGCAUUUAGUCCAUAGCAAAACUCCCUUUGAGGAAGAUUCUGCAGAUUUAAGGACUGAGGAGUUAGGACUGGGAGCUAAGGAAAGGACAUGAAUGACUUCCUUCACAGCUGGUUUUAAAAAGCCAUCUGCUUUCUACAGUCAAGCCAAAACUAAGGGGAGAUGAUCUGAGGUUUAGAAACAUGCAGGAUAAUUUUCACACCAAAUAAGAAAAAUGAGAAAUUAUCUUAACAUAUUGUAACUUGUCAUAAAAAUACAUGUUUCUUUCCAGCUUUAAAAGAGGACUUUAUAAAAUCUACUGUCUUUGAUUUGUUAAGUCGAUUUUAUAUUGAUUUUUUAAUUCAUCUGUUUUUAAGAAAGCGGAAUGAAACACUCGAUGUUUCUAUUAUUUUGAUUGGUGCUUCAUUGUAUAAGAAUUUGGUUAUUGAAACAUACACUAAAUAUUGCACUGUAAAUUGUGUUGUAACUUAUGCAAUACCUUUUGGUAUUAAUAGAAAAAAAUCAAGAUUGCAAAAAUGGUAUUUAAUUUUUUAUUUUAUUUAGUUUAAUAAAAAACUCACUUGACUGC